Molecule: ribosomal RNA, 382 nt
Filed under: uncultured eukaryote
Lineage: Eukaryota
Description: partial 18S ribosomal RNA
Rfam family: Eukaryotic small subunit ribosomal RNA
Source: RNAcentral
CAAUAGCGUAUAUUAAAGUUGUUGCAGUUAAAAAGCUCGUAGUUGAAUUUCUGGUGGGAGUGUACAGUCCGACACUGAGUGUUGGUUCUUGUAUGUCUCCGGCCAUCCUUGGAGUGAAUCUGUCUGGCAUUCAGUUGUUGGGCAGAGUAUCUCCAUCGUUUACUGUGAGGAAAUGAAAGUGUUCAAAGCAGGCUUAUGCCGUUGAAUCUUUUAGCAUGGAAUAAUAAGAUAGGAUCUUGAUACUAUUUUGUUGGUUUGCGUGUUAAGAUAAUGAUGAAUAGGGACAGUUGGGGGUAUUUGUAUUCCAUAGUCAGAGGUGAAAUUCUUGGAUUUAUGGAAGACAAACUAAUGCGAAAGCAUCUACCAAGGAUGUUUUCAUUAA